GAUGAACGCUGACAGAAUGCUUAACACAUGCAAGUCAACUGGAAUUUGGGUUUUUAACUUAGGUUUGGGUGGCGGACGGGUGAGUAACGCGUAAAGAACUUGCCUCACAGCUAGGGACAACAUUUGGAAACGAAUGCUAAUACCUAAUAUUAUGAUAAUAGGGCAUCCUAUAAUUAUGAAAGCUAUAAGCGCUGUGGGAGAGCUUUGCGUCCCAUUAGCUAGUUGGAGAGGUAACGGCUCACCAAGGCGAUGAUGGGUAGCCGGCCUGAGAGGGUGAUCGGCCACAAGGGGACUGGGACACGGCCCUUACUCCUACGUGAGGCAGCAGUGGGGAAUAGUGGACAAUGGACCAAGAGUCUGAUCCAGCAAUUCUGUGUGUACGAUGAAGUUUUCCGGAAUGUAAAGUGCUUUCAGUUGGGAAGAAAGAAAUGACGGUACCAACAGAAGAAGUGACGGCUAAAUACGUG
RNAcentral lists this ribosomal RNA (467 nucleotides) under uncultured bacterium. RNAcentral's name for it is "partial 16S ribosomal RNA". It matches the Rfam family "Bacterial small subunit ribosomal RNA", at positions 28 to 507 of the family's 1533-position model. The record is from RNAcentral.